CGAAGCUGUAGUUUAAAAAAAUAUUAGCAUUGGAAGCUAAAGAUUAGGUANUCAAUCCUACUCUUCGA
RNAcentral lists this transfer RNA (68 nucleotides) under Tutufa rubeta. RNAcentral's name for it is "tRNA-Pro". Lineage: Eukaryota; Metazoa; Mollusca; Gastropoda; Littorinimorpha; Bursidae. The record is from RNAcentral.